This 469-nucleotide ribosomal RNA is filed under the name uncultured bacterium. Its description in RNAcentral is "bacterial SSU rRNA". It matches the Rfam family "Bacterial small subunit ribosomal RNA", at positions 337 to 797 of the family's 1533-position model. The record is from RNAcentral.
UCCUACGGGGGGCAGCAGUGAGGAAUCUUGCGCAAUGGGGGAAACCCUGACGCAGCAACGCCGCGUGAGUGAGGAAGGCUUUCGGGUCGUAAAGCUCUGUCAGAUGGGAAGAAAUGGGUGAAGGUCAAUACCCUUCAUCCUUGACGGUACCGUCAAAGGAAGCACCGGCUAACUCCGUGCCAGCAGCCGCGGUAAUACGGGGGGUGCAAGCGUUGUUCGGAAUCAUUGGGCGUAAAGCGCGCGCAGGCGGCUUGGUAAGUCAGAUGUGAAAGCCCUGGGCUUAACCCAGGAAGUGCAUUUGAUACUGCCUCGCUAGAGUACGGGAGAGGAAAGUGGAAUUCCUGGUGUAGAGGUGAAAUUCGUAGAUAUCAGGAGGAACACCGGUGGCGAAGGCGACUUUCUGGCCCGAUACUGACGCUCAGGCGCGAAAGCGUGGGGAGCAAACAGGAUUAGAUACCCCUGUAGUCCA